UUGGAGGAAAACAGAUGAUAAAUGCUAGGUUAAAAGGCUUGAAUCAUCUAGUAUGAUGAAUGAGGUUUUGAUUUCAAUGUAGCUAUAUAGACAAAAGGAGCAAUGCACUCUCCAAAAAUCAAAUUUGAAAAUGUCAACAUACUUUUAUAUUUCAAUCUAGCUAUAUAAUGUACAAUAAAUACUUAUUAAAAUUAUCUUUCCAAAGGGAAAUAAACAUACUUAUUAAAAUUAUCGUUCACUCAAAAUUUUCGUAUACCCUGUUGUUACUGCCAACUUCCUUGAUAAUCUGUCAAAAUCAUACACAAAUUAAGGUGGACAAACAGAACAAAAGUGGAGGAUAAUUGACUUACCGAUAUGUUUUUAGUAAAAAAAAAGGAUGCAUAAUACUUUCAUUUUAUUAGUUACAACAUACAAAAUGAAAGUGCAAUUUAUAAUUGGAUAAAGACUUAUAGUUUGAUCUCCUAAUAAGAGUAAAAAGGAAAAUGCAAAGCUUAUUAUAACAUCGUCGUUGUCAAAUUUAAUAUUUUUAUUGUUUGUUUUAAUCAUCAUGAUCGGCGGAAGGGAGCGUGUGAUUGUUUAGAAUUCAAAAUUCAAAAAAAAAAUGGAUUUGACCUAAUUUCAUCUUUAAAUGCUUAAGGAUGUUUAGGUUUGUUGAUUAUUGAAAAUCACAGCAAAAGAGAAAGUAAAAAUAUAUGCAUUUAAAAUUCAUAAAGAAUUACCCAAAUAAUCUUGUAUAUAAUAAUACUACUAAUAAUAAUAAUAAUAAUAAUAAUAAUAAUUAUUAUUAUUAUUAUUAUUAUUAAUUCGUAGCUACCCUUUCAAGUUUGUUAUUGAAAUUUGAUUCUCUCUCCUCUCAUUUCACUCCAUGUUCUAUUUUUGUUCUUUUUCAACUGCCAUUGGUCCCCAAAGAAGAGGGUAAUACUUACAUCAGAUAUUUAACUUUGAAAUUACAAAAAACAAAAUUUAUGACCUUAUAAAUGAAAGAAAUCGAGUUCUAAAAUACAAUCACAAAAACUUGGAUAUGUUUUCAGUUAGUUCAAGUUUCCUCUGUACCUGACCUGAGAUGAGAUGAUGUGGGGAUGACUUCACUAAGCAGAUCCGUUUAAGAGUGUGUAUAGUUGAACUCAUGCUUUUAAUCGAAAUGAAAAGUUAUAUUUUUUUUUUGUAAAAUAGAACCUCACUUCUAGCAAAGAAUAGUCAUAGCAACACAAAAUAAGCAACAAAUUAGCAUACAAACAAAAAAAUGGAGGUAAAAAUACCAAGUCAUGAGCAGAAAUCAAAUUUUCAACCCUCUAUGCCUUAGUUCAUAAAAUCCUUUCCUUACAAAAAUCAGAACAUGUAGCUACCAUUCCUACCUCUAUGUCGAAAGUUGAUGAAAAUGUAAUUUGUGUUCUCUGUGUUGAGAAACCCCGCGAUAAAUAAUAGUUAACCUACUUUAUGCAACUGGAAGUGAUAAUCCAAAAAACCUAAAUGUGCAUAUGAUUUAGAAUGAAGUUGAGAAGCAUUCGAAAUCGAAAGUGAAUACGGAACAAAUUAUAAUAUUCCUCAAUUUGAUAAUAACGUCACAUGAAAACGGAGAGGGGUUUAAUCGAUGAACUUGAGAUGCUUUGUGGUAACUAUAUUUCCUGAUGUAUCGAAGCUUGAAUGAAGAAUCUUUUGAGAGUGGAAGUUCGCAGAGGAAAAUGAACCGUUAGCAUUAUCAUAUCCAAAACCACACAUCCGGAAGGCAGCCUUGCAAUCGGUGAGAUCCAACGGUUUGAGGAGGUUAGGUUGGAGGUGAGAGGCACUAUUUUGUGGUCGUACUGCUCUGUUUUGACAAUUGUGGUCGUAUGGCUCUGUUUCCUUCACCCUUCACCAUGGAUCGGAUGAAGAUUAAUCAAAUGAAGAUGCCAUAAUAUUUUUUUAUUUGAUUAUAUAGAUAAAGGAGAGAUAGGCGGUGGAGAGGUGGGUUGAGCAGAAAAUGUGAGGGGUGGAAAGAAUUGGGUGGAAGGAACUGGAAGGUUGAAGAAUGAUAUCAUCGAGACGUCGAUCAAUGAGCCAAAAGCGAUCAACAGUAUGGAAUAACACCUGUCCAACAUUAUUCUGAAGAACGCAAAGAACACCACCAUGUAGAUGGUGUAGAUGGAACAGAA
Molecule: long non-coding RNA, 2132 nt
Filed under: Lactuca sativa (garden lettuce)
Lineage: Eukaryota; Viridiplantae; Streptophyta; Magnoliopsida; Asterales; Asteraceae
Description: long non-coding RNA (LSAT_LNC000092)
Source: RNAcentral